Molecule: long non-coding RNA, 6191 nt
Organism: Neofelis nebulosa (Clouded leopard)
Lineage: Eukaryota; Metazoa; Chordata; Mammalia; Carnivora; Felidae
Exons: 3
Source: RefSeq, a predicted model, not a curated record
UCUGGGAGCUGACAUUCAGGAAUGUGGAGUAAAUCACCAGCUAGUUAAUUGCUUGACUGCAAUUAUGUAAGUCCUGUAGGGAUUGCUAAGUUGCUAGAAGAGUCCGUAACUGGGGCAGGGAGGAAGGUCCUGCUAGGACUGAGGGAUCAGAAAGUCUCCCCAGGAAGAAGACAAGAUGGCUGGAUGCACAGAAAGAAGGGUCAGUGGUACAGAGGGAAGCUUCUGGUCCAACAGAGACAAGAAUUUGAAUUGAUGGAGCCUAACAGCAUGAGGAUGCUUCCUUGGGAACCUUGACAACAUAUUGUGAGGAAGCCCGUGCCACACGGAGAAGCUGACAUGGAGAGGAACUCAGCCCUCCCGCCAGCAGGCAGUUCCAAUUUGCCAGGCAUGUGAGUGAGCCAUUUUGGAAGCAGGUCCUUCAGCCACAGUCAAACCUUCAAAUAUGUACACCUCCAACCAGCAUGUGUUUGCAACCUCAUGGGAAACUCCUAAGCCAGAACCUCUCCCAAAUUCCUGGCUCACAGAAACCAUGAGAGAUUUUUGUUGUUUAAGCCAUUAAGUUUUGGGGUAAUUUGUUAAGGAGUAUUUGUGUGAACCAGAUUGAUGUCAUCUUGGACAAAUCCACCGCGACGACUCCUCUGUGACAUGAAGCCUUCUUGAGCACAGCACCCACCCCCCAAAUUCUUCCUUUUUGUUUAACCACACCCUUAAGUACACUCUUGGAGCAUGACAUCCUUGAUCUGCUCUGGAGAUAUGACUAUGAUUCUCAAACAUUCUCCUCCUGGGUGGUCUCCCAGUCUCUAAGGCUAUGAAAACAGGUCAAAACAGAUCUUACAGGAGGUGGGGUCGCAGAGAUAUCCUCUUGCCACCACCCAAGACAUGCUUCUCUCCAUAAGUUCCUUUAAUGAAUCAUUUCUUGACAAGCUGUACUUGUUGGCCUUAUUCUUCAGUCUUACAGCCCCUUUGGCCUUUGGAGGACAUUUUAUAUAUACCUCCCUUUCACAGAGCAGUAUUGGCUAAAUUAAUACACCCAACAUGUUAGCUUUGUCCUUCAUAGUUAAGGCAUGGCUGCUACAGCUUCUGACAUCUCAUCACCGUUUCAGAAAAGCAUGACAAUAUUCUAAGAGCAGAAUUAAAUUAACCUUAUAAGCACCAAGCAACUAGAAUCUUUGGAGUUCAACUCUGAACAUAGGAUUGCAACAUUAAGAGCUACAGGACUAGCUAGUUUUUUGUUCUCUUGUCAAGCUAGGGCAGGGACCCACUCUAAAAUCCACAUUAUCUUCGCCACUAGUAAUCUCACUGAUGAAACUGCAUUGGUAGCAUCCAUUAUGCUAAUUAGAAAGCCACCAAUUUCAUCAGCAGAAACCUAUUUCUAACAUUAAUUAUGUCAGCUGAUAAAUUGUCUGGCGCUGAUCAGAGAUAAAGAUAGUGGAAGCUUUUCCAGUAGCUGUUUCUGGAAUACAGGUUUCCUAAUUAGAGUGCUGGCUUUCCACCUUAGGAUGUAAAUUCUCAAUUAGGACAAACGAUAGUACCUAGGCUAUCACGUAACUCUGGUAUAUGAGAACACUCUGCCUGUGGUAAAAUAUUUUAAAGUAUAUUACAGACAUUACAAUGCCCAGUUGGGUCUCUUAUCUCAAGUUCAUUUCUACAUCCCCUUUCACACAUCCCCUUCAAGUCUCCCUGUUAGUUUCAUUAGUUUCUGAGGAACCAAAUCUACUCAUACAGGGAUAGGUUUUGGGUUUUUUUUAAUUUUUAAAAAAAAUUUUUUUUUAAAGAUUUAUUUAUUUUUGAGAGAGACAGAGACAGAGCUUGAGUGGGGGAGGGGAAGAGCAAGGGGGAGACACAGAAUCCGAAGCAGGCUCCGGGCUCCAAGCUGUCAGCACAGAGCCCGAUGCGGGGCUUGCACCCACAGACGGUGAUAUCAUGACCUGAGCCGAAGUCAGAUGCCCAACCGACUGAGCCACCCAGGCGCCCUGGGAUAGGUGGGGGUUUUUUGGUUUGUUUUUUUUUUUUGAUACUCCAUCUAGGACAAGCUGCAGAAACUGUUUUGGCUCUGAGAUCCGCUAAAUGUGUGCCCAUUUCCCAAGGAAGGUAGUGAUCCGUGCAGGCAGUUGAGUCCAAACCCGUGUUCAAGAAGGACAUACCCCGCAUUUCUUUCACUGCCUCAUCACUUGUAUCUUGAGUCAGGGAUCCUCAUUACGGUUGCAGAUAGGAUUUGGUCCCUUGGUGCCUAACAGAUUAAGACCAGAACUGUGUUACUCCAGGCCCCAAGCCCAGCAAAGAGCCCAGCACGGGGCUUGAUCCCACGACCUUUGGUUCAUGACCUAAGACGAAAUAUAGAGUUGGGCCCUCAACCAUCUGAGCCACCCAGGCACCCCAACGUGCUAAGUGUUUUUCGUGCAUCAGCUGAUGUAAUUCUGGCAGCAGCCCUACAUGGAAGGAAGUGUUGUCCUACUAUGUGUUUCAGUGAAGUCAAAUACCACACCUCAAGUCUCACAGAGCUUCUUGUCUAGGUGAAAGAAAUCACUGUGCAACACAGCAACUGCUACCACAGUGGCAUGUCCAAAAGCAGAAAUGCUGACAAGGAAGGGAGAAAAAAGCUCCCUCCCCACAUGAAUCUGGAAAGAUUCUUUGAAGGGGUGCCAUUGAAGAAUGAGAGGAACUUUACCUGAUCAGGAAGAAUCUGUUGCCAUAUUAGAUUAACUCAAAAAUCAGAAAAUGAUAAAGAAGAAAUCAAGAAGGUCACUGCCACCUAAAAAUAUCACAAUAACAGAAAUUACUUGGGUUUUCAUAAGGCUAUAGAUUAACGUAGAUGCUGCAUCUUUUUUUUUUUUUGCAAAGAACAAACAAAAAAAAAACCCACCUCAUGAUUUCAGUUCUUGCUUCAUUUCCUCCUUUAUGCUAAGUAAUACUGCCCAUGAGGCUUCUCUCUUAACCUCCUGCCUGCCCUUCCCCCAUCUUCCAGUCCAUAUGUCUGUUAAUCACGUGGUUAUUUUUCCCAGAGCCGAGUGCUUGAGCAUGCUGUAUCUUAAGAAAUGUGCCAGAACAGGUCAGGGGAGGCCCCUUCACUUUCUAGGAACAUUGGCAGCUGCAUGAAGGCCUUAAGUGACUGGUUCUUCAUUUAGGUUCUGGCUUUAACUUACACGCAAUCACAUAUUUGUAAGUCAGGAAAUGUGGAAAUGUGAGAUUUUUGCUGUUCAGCACUCAUGUUCUCCUCCUAGAUGAUAGGAACUCAGGUGUUCUUGGGGAAUCACCUCUCCCCCCAAUCUCAGUCCAAGAGCUUGAAAGUGGUCACCUGUCCCCAGGCCUGGCCAAUCAAGGUCACAGUCAUACCACAUGACCCAUGCAGGGCCGAUGAGCAUCAGCUUGGAACUUUCACGGGUCCUCUUGGGGAAGAGGAAUACUCUUCCCAUGUUGGUGACAAAGCUGGUGCGAUAUGAACUUGGCACUAUAGCUGCCCAUCUUCGCCACCACCUGAGGAGCGCCUACCUGACAAUGAGGCUAACAUAGUGUCAGUGUUUCUGCUCAGGCUGGUUGUGCCCUUCAUGGCUUUCUUCUUGUCCAUGCAUAAGGCUACUAGUGUCACUGCAACUGCACUACCAGACGAGCUUCUGAUGGGGACACAGUGACUGCCGAUGCUGCCUUUAUUCAAGAGGUCAGUGGGGCUCCUGGGUGGCUCAGUCGGUUGAGCGACCAACUUCAGCUCAGGUCAUGAUCUCACGGUUUGUGAGUUCGAGCCCCAUGUCGGGCUCUGUGCUGACAGCUUGGAGCCUGGAACCUGCUUUGGAUUCUGUGUCUCCUUCUCUCUCUCUGCCCCUCCCCAACUCACGCUCUGUCUCUCUGUCUCAGAAAUAAAUGAACAUUUAAAAAAAAAAAAAAAGAAGUCAGUGCUGUCCCUCACCCCUACCUAGAUUCUUGACAUCCUGGCUGAGACCCUAUAACCUGUCCAAUUACUUAAAAAUCUCUCUUGCUGGGACGCCUGGGUGGCUCAGUCGGUUAAGUGUCCGACUUCAGCUCAGGUCAUGAUCUCACACCCCAUGAGUUUGAGCCCCGUGCUGACAGCUCAGAGCCUGGAGCCUGCUUCGGAUUCUGUGUCUCCCUCUCUCUCUGCCCCUGCCCUGCUCACACUCUGUCUCUCUCUCCAUCUCAAAAAUAAAUAAAUACAUUUAAAAAAAUUUUUUUUAAAUCUCUUUCUUGCUUAGUGCAUUCCAACAUUGUCCUUGUCCCUGGCCAAGACCUGCCAGCCCCUUCUUCAUGUCCCAGAAAGUAUAUCUGAGUUAGUCUGGAACUCUCUCAAAGCCAGUAUCAGCUCCUCCAUCAGGAGGGUGACACUGCUUUAGGGCCGUUUUAUGAAGAUUUAGACUCUCUACCUUCCCCUGAGGCUCCAGGAUCUUCAUGCAGAAGAACAAGGUGCCAGACUGCCACCUGGACGUCUGUGACCUCAACACAGGUGCUGUCUGAGACUGCCUGCUUUUCACACCAACUCCAGACUCCAGGAGAGCCUGAAUGAGGCUACAUGGAGCAUAUCCCUUCAAACCAGCAUCAAUAUGUGACAGUGCUGUUCCUUAUGUAUGAUGCCCAGCUGUCCCUCAGAUAGCAGCCUCGUGCCCAACCUUAUGAUUUUCUGAGAGGAUACCCUGGUUUUGCUCUGCUCCAUCUGAAUCUCCCUGAAAGUCAUGACUGCUGGUGGCCAGGUAUGAUGUUUCUGGGCCACAUUCUGUCCAGCCGGAGCAUCUAAGGUAUUAACAUAACUGGAGGGACUCCUCUGUGGUUUAUUUAAGAUCCUCUGGUCUUCCUGGGCCACUGAAGGAAAUAUCAUAGCUGCAUAAUGGUCUAUAAAAUCCGAGUCUACAUUCCUGAUACUCUACCACACUUCCUGCUAGGAAUUAAUCACAAGAACAAAGGCCAUUCGUGUUUCUUAGCAAUGCCUUAUUUGUGAGCAGAUUGCAAAACAACCACAGCUAAACCAGAAUUUCAGUCAGAUCUCAACUAAGUUUGGUUUGUACGUGUCAAGGUCACUUAUCAGCCAAUUCCUGGAACUCGGAUGCGUUUUCCCAUGGAAACAGUAUGACAGACUGUAUGAAGGCCUCAGGUCAAGCCAUAAGUGCCUGCAGUAACCAUGGUACCGAGAGCACAAUUUCAAGAACUCCCAAUCACUAUGUACAAUGUUGCUUCUAUAGGAAAAUGCCUGUCAAGCUCUCAUGCCGGGUUCUCAGAACAUCUUUCUCAGCCCCACAUUUAUCCUGGCAGCAUGAGAGAAUUUCCUCCUUUGAUUAAGCGUUCAUUCAUUCCUACAAAUAUUUAUUGUGCAGCUAAUCUGUACCAGCCAUUGCUCUAAAUACUAUAGAUAUAGCAGUGAACAAAAUUUACUCCCUAGAUGUUCUGAAAUGGGGGCAUAGGGUCAGCUGCUACCAUAUUAACCAGCAUAAGGGAGGAAGGGCUACCCAACUGUUUCUUCCAAAAUAACCAGGGUGUCCCAAAGGUAAAUUUUCAUUUAUACCCUUGAAUGCAUACAUGAAGACUCUCAGCAUGUCAGUUUUCUAUCUUAGCAAUGUUUACAUCUGGGCUUCAUUUUGCAUCCCCUUUUUCACAUCUGGCUGUUGAUUCUCAAAUGGACCAAAAGCAAAUCACCAAGAUAAGAAAUAUUUUCUCAUUUUGCAUGGGGCAGAGAAGACCCUGGGAAGCACACCGUGUCUUGAUUGACUUUGGCUUGAGGGCUUCUAGUACCUUGGGAAUCAUGAAAGGGCUUGGGGAAUCAGGGAGUGAUAGCAAUGUUCCUCACAUCGGUGGAGGUGGCUUUCCAGCCAAUCCAGAUGGUAAGAAAGAAGCUACAUUCUUCUGCUUCCCAACCGCUCUGGGAGAACCUUCUGGGUAAAAUCAACUGGACUCUUCACCUCUCUAAACGCUGCUUAUUUCCUUAUGUAAUUGAGCAUGCUGCUACAAGACUAACUGAAAAACAGGGUUUAUGCAUUAGUCCUUCACAUUCAUUCACUCAGAGCACCCAAACUGUCUCUAAAUUGAAAAGAAUAUUGAUAAUUUUCAAGUACUCUUGCUCCUUAUAAAGUGGUCCUAUAGGUUUACUCCCUACCACCAUGUUUGACGUGUUUGUGAUUGCUUUAAAAAACAAAGUAAAACAAAAUCCUUUUUGUUUGGCAGCACAAUGAACUCCAAGAAUAAAAGAUCUUCUGGCA